This 209-nucleotide long non-coding RNA is filed under the name Phoenix dactylifera (date palm). Its description in RNAcentral is "long non-coding RNA (PDAC_LNC007934)". Lineage: Eukaryota; Viridiplantae; Streptophyta; Magnoliopsida; Arecales; Arecaceae. The record is from RNAcentral.
AAAAUUAAUCCCUGAUUAAUUCGAAAUUAGUUGGGAAGUUUCCUGAUGUGAUUAGGAGAAAAAGGAAGCAUGUGAUGCAUCCUUUCAUGCGCCAUAAGAAGGGCUAUAAUCAGAUUAGAGUGGAUCCCUUGAAUCAAGGAUUGGAUGACACAUGUCAUUUUCUCCUUGCAUGGCGCCAUGGAUUGAUUUGAUCCUAAUUUAGUUAGGAU